Molecule: long non-coding RNA, 516 nt
Organism: Balaenoptera acutorostrata (minke whale)
Lineage: Eukaryota; Metazoa; Chordata; Mammalia; Artiodactyla; Balaenopteridae
Exons: 2
Source: RefSeq, a predicted model, not a curated record
UUGUGUUUAUUGAUUGUGCAGGCUGCCCCAGCAGGCAGGGUAAGUUUCCCGGUAGGGAUCGCUUUGUCUCUUCCCUUCUCAUCCUUCGGGCUGUCGACAGACUACACCACCCACGUCUCCCUUUCCUGCUCAGCACUCGAACACCGAGAAGAAAUCGAUUUGUCAAAACGAGUGAGAAGAUAUUUCCCGGAGAUGAAGGCUUAUGAGGACAGACUCCUCGCUUUCUUUCAGAGUAACCUUCCUUAGAGGCUGGAAAGAAGCAGAGGCGGCUCUCGGAUCCCGUGGCUAAGUUUCAGAGUCAUUUUAAGGGCUGUGAAUGUUUGACUCUGCAAUGCUCAAGGAAGAAAUAUCUAAUUAAACAGCUAGAAGAGGCAACACCAAUGUCAAGUAGUAGGCUGCAGCUCAUAGAUUUAGAGAGAAGGCUCGAUUCUCAAGAACAGUUGGUGAUUCUUAGCAAAACCCAAUGUUUAAGAUUCUAAAAAUCCAACGGAGUAGAAUAAAAAAUAUAUAUAUAUA